UACGUAGGGUGCGAGCGUUGUCCGGAAUUAUUGGGCGUAAAGGGCUCGUAGGCGGUUUGUCACGUCAGGAGUGAAAACUCGGGGCUCAACCCCGAGCCUGCUUCUGAUACGGGCAGACUAGAGGUAUGCAGGGGAGAACGGAAUUCCUGGUGUAGCGGUGAAAUGCGCAGAUAUCAGGAGGAACACCGGUGGCGAAGGCGGUUCUCUGGGCAUUACCUGACGCUGAGGAGCGAAAGCGUGGGGAGCAAACAGG
RNAcentral lists this ribosomal RNA (253 nucleotides) under uncultured bacterium. RNAcentral describes it as "partial 16S ribosomal RNA". It matches the Rfam family "Bacterial small subunit ribosomal RNA", at positions 524 to 776 of the family's 1533-position model. The record is from RNAcentral.